AACGAACGCUGGCGGCAUGCCUAACACAUGCAAGUCGAACGAAACCUUCGGGUCUAGUGGCGCACGGGUGCGUAACGCGUGGGAACCUGCCCUUAGGUUCGGAAUAACUCCCCGAAAGGGGUGCUAAUACCGGAUAAUGUCUUCGGACCAAAGAUUUAUCGCCUUUGGGUGGGCCCGCGUUGGAUUAGCUAGUUGGUAGGGUAAAAGCCUACCAAGGCGACGAUCCAUAGCUGGUCUGAGAGGAUGAUCAGCCACACUGGGACUGAGACACGGCCCAGACUCCUACGAGAGGCAGCAGUGGGGAAUAUUGGACAAGGGGCGAAAGCCUGAUCCAGCAAGGCCGCGUGAGUGAUGAAGGCCUUAGGGUUGUAAAGCUCUUUUACCCGGGAUGAUAAUGACAGUACCGGGAGAAUAAGCUCCGGCUAACUCCGU
RNAcentral lists this ribosomal RNA (432 nucleotides) under uncultured bacterium. RNAcentral describes it as "partial 16S ribosomal RNA". It matches the Rfam family "Bacterial small subunit ribosomal RNA", at positions 29 to 506 of the family's 1533-position model. The record is from RNAcentral.